RNAcentral lists this ribosomal RNA (333 nucleotides) under Scinax elaeochroa (Sipurio snouted treefrog). RNAcentral's name for it is "partial 12S ribosomal RNA". The record is from RNAcentral. Lineage: Eukaryota; Metazoa; Chordata; Amphibia; Anura; Hylidae.
CUUAUACAUGCAAGUCUCCGCACCCCUGUGAAAAUGCCCUCAAACCCCUCCAGGGGUCAGGAGCUGGUAUCAGGCCCGACCCUCAGCCCAUGACACCUAGCCAUGCCACACCCACAAGGGUAUACAGCAGUGAUUAACAUUGACCAUAAGCGCAAGCUUGACUCAGUCAGAGUAAGUAGAGCCGGCAAAUCUGGUGCCAGCCGCCGCGGCCACACCAGGGGCUCAGACUGAUUAUAUUCGGCGUAAAGCGUGAUUAAAGCUAACUUAAACUGCAGUUAAACUGGAACUAAACUGUAAAACCCAUGAACCCAGGAAACACAAAAACGAAAGUCA